Long non-coding RNA from Salvia miltiorrhiza (redroot sage), 811 nucleotides. RefSeq lists it as uncharacterized. The transcript has 2 exons. The record is from RefSeq and is a predicted model, not a curated record. Lineage: Eukaryota; Viridiplantae; Streptophyta; Magnoliopsida; Lamiales; Lamiaceae.
UUGAAGAAAAUUUUGCAGAUCGCGCGCCAUCAAAACUCUGUUCCCUUCUCAAAACUCUCUUCUCGCGCCAUCUCACAGAAAACCUAGACGCCGCCCAUAUCUCAGCAAAAAUCCGUCGGACACCGCGGCGUCGACGCCUUCUUCACCGUCGCCGGCUAGCCUCAUCUUUUCUCACCCGAAACCCUCGCCCAUCUCACAGAAAUCUACUCGCGCGCCUCCUCCCUGUUCUGAAAAUAAACUUGCCUUCGCCUCCCCAAUUUCAGCAUACGACUGCCGGCGUCGCCCCAAUUUCAGCAUACGACCGCCGGCGUCGAGGGUCUAGUGUUGACUUCUUCUUCGGCUGUCACCGGCAGGCUCUCGAAAUCGACACCAUCUCGUGCAUCGCCUCCCCCAAUCUGAACUGAUGCCAUUGCCCUAUCUCAGAAUCUGAAGUGACGCCAUUGUCUUAUCUCGUGGGUUCGACAUCAAUUCCUACCACUGAAAGCAUACUCUAUUGCUUACAAAGAAGCCGCCGAUAUUCUUCUCCCUGGGUACACUGAUCUAUCAAGAUUUAAGGCCAGCUGGUGAAGAAACAAAGCAUUUCAGAAGACUUCUUGUACGUUGACUUGGAGGAAGGUAUGUAAUCUCAAGUUUAGUUGUAAGUUGUUGCUGAAUAGGGUUGAUAUGUAUUUACAUAAAUUUGGCAUAGCUCUAAGUAUUGCAGAUUUUUUAUGUUGUGAAUACAAAAUAAGCGGUCUACUAUAUAUAUAGUCGAAUUAGUGUGGAUAAUCUAUUUGAUUUAAUAAGCUUAUUUAGUUUUUUUUUUCCUUUA